AAGUCGUAACAAGGUUUCCGUAGGUGAACCUGCGGAAGGAUCAUUAAUGAAGCUUCAAGUCGGCCGUUUCUGUGCUGGUGGCCACACAUGUGCACGUUCGGUCGCAAACACCCCACACCCUGUGCACCCUUGACUUGAGUCGGUCGAAAGGGUUGUAACGACCCCAAACACCGAUCACAAGUAAUUUUUACACUCUGCAUGUAACGGAAUGUCACUGUACAAUGUACAACAGAAACAACUUUCAACAACGGAUCUCUUGGCUCUCGCAUCGAUGAAGAACGCAGCGAAAUGCGAUAAGUAAUGUGAAUUGCAGAAUUCAGUGAAUCAUCGAAUCUUUGAACGCACCUUGCACCCUUUGGUAUCCCAAAGGGUACACCCGUUUGAGUGUCAUUGUAAUCUCACUUUGAUGACUUUAUCGUCGUCAGAUGUGGACUUGGACGUCGUCGUGUCGCCACGGCUCGUCUCAAAUGCCUGAGUGUACCCUGCUUUGCAGCGUCUUUGGUGUAAUAAACAUCUUCACCGUUAAUGUCGAAAGGCAGCGCUCGUGAUAUAGGCUCUAUGCUUCCAACCGUCUCUCCGAGACAAACCUCUGACAAUUUGACCUCAAAUCGGGUGAGACUACCCGCUGAACUUAAGCAUAUCAAUAAGCGGAGGAAAAGAAACUAACAAGGAUUCCCCUAGUAACGGCGAGUGAAGAGGGAAAAGCUCAAAUUUUGAAUCUGGCGUCUUUGGCGUCCGAGUUGUAAUCUAGAGAAGUGACUUCCGCGUCGGACCGUGUACAAGUCCCCUGGAACGGGGCGUCAUAGAGGGUGAGAAUCCCGUAUAUGCCACGGACCCCCGAUGCUUUGUGAUGCACUCUCGACGAGUCGAGUUGUUUGGGAAUGCAGCUCAAAAUGGGUGGUAAAUUCCAUCUAAAGCUAAAUAUUGGCGAGAGACCGAUAGCGAACAAGUACCGUGAGGGAAAGAUGAAAAGCACUUUGGAAAGAGAGUGAAACAGUACGUGAAAUUGUUGAAAGGGAAGCGUUUGAAGUCAGUCAUGCCGGUUGGAAUUCAUCCUGGCUUUUGCCUCGUGUACUUUCCAUCCGACAGGUCAGCAUCAGUUUCGACCGAGAGAAAAAGGCUUUGGGAAUGUGGCUGUCUUCGGGCAGUGUUAUAGCCUGGGGUUGUAUGUCUCGGUUGGGACUGAGGAACGCAGCGCGCCCGUUGGCCGGGGGCGAACCACCCCUCGGUACGCGCUUAGGAUGCUGGC
This 1249-nucleotide ribosomal RNA is filed under the name uncultured Sebacinales. RNAcentral describes it as "eukaryotic LSU rRNA". The stretch from base 599 to 1249 matches the Rfam family "Eukaryotic large subunit ribosomal RNA", at positions 1 to 630 of the family's 3401-position model. Lineage: Eukaryota; Fungi; Basidiomycota; Agaricomycetes; Sebacinales. The record is from RNAcentral.